RNAcentral lists this ribosomal RNA (615 nucleotides) under Dictyopteris crassinervia. Its description in RNAcentral is "LSU rRNA". It matches the Rfam family "Eukaryotic large subunit ribosomal RNA", at positions 51 to 676 of the family's 3401-position model. Lineage: Eukaryota; Phaeophyceae; Dictyotales; Dictyotaceae. The record is from RNAcentral.
CGGAGGAAAAGAAACUAACGAGGAUUCCCCCAGUAACGGCGAGUGAAGCGGGAAGAGCUCACGUUGUAAAUCUCGCCUUCGGGCGCGAAUUGUAGUCUGGAGAGGCGAGGCCUGCCGCUGUCCGUGGCCAAGUCUGAUUGGAAAUGAGCAUCAUGGAGGGUGACAAUCCCGUUCAUGCCGCGGUAUCGACCAGCGCGCAGAAGGCCCGUUUUCGAAGAGUCGAGUUGCUUGGGAUUGCAGCUCAAAGCGGGUGGUAAACCCCAUCUAAAGCUAAACACGGGGGGGAGACCGAUAGCGAACAAGUACCGUGAGGGAAAGAUGCAAAGAACUUUGAAAAGAGAGUUAAAGAGUGCCUGAAAUUGCUGGAAGGGAAGCGAAGGAAAGAGGUGUGCGGUUGCCGGAGCGCCAACCCCCAUCUGCCUGUCUUGGUGUGGGGGUAGGCCGCUCCGCCGCGGUCAGGGGCUGCGCCGGGUUCGCGAGAGGAUCCGCGCUGGAUCGGUAGCCAUCCCUUCGGGGAAGGUGUCAGGCCGGCGUCGGUGGCGUCGCGAGUCCCGGCCCCCUUCUGGCGGUCGCGGCUUUUCUUCACCCCGUCUUGAAACACGGACCAAGGAGUCU